Molecule: small RNA, 404 nt
Filed under: Streptomyces mutabilis
Lineage: Bacteria; Bacillati; Actinomycetota; Actinomycetes; Kitasatosporales; Streptomycetaceae
Source: RNAcentral
ACGAAAAGUGAGGAUCAAGCGCACCACCCCCCGCAGCGGCAUCACGAGACGGACUCGGCUGAUCGCCGUAUCCACCGGCAUCGUGGCCGCAGCCGCGAUCGCGAUCCCCAGCGCGAACGCCUCGGAAACCCCCGCCGCCUUCAGCGCCGCCGAGCUGAACAGUGCCAGCGGCGCGGUGCUCGAGGCCGACGUCCCAGGUACCGCCUGGGCCGUCGACAGCAAGUCCGGCCAGGUACUCCUCACGGUCGACAGCACGGUCUCCCAGGCCGAGAUCGCGAAGAUCAAGAAGGAGGCCGGCGACAAGGCCGGCGCCCUCAAGAUCGAGCGCACUCCCGGCACGUUCAACAAGCUCAUCCAGGGCGGCGACGCCAUCUACGCCAGCAGCUGGCGCUGCUCCCUCGGCU